AGCUCCAAUAGCCUUUAUUAAAGUUGUUGCAGUUAAAAAGCUCGUAGUUGGAUCUGUGGUUGAGGUAAGGCUUCCGUCCCUUUUGGGUUUUGGUGUUGCCUGACGUUGCCAUCCUUGGGUGGAAUCUAUGUGACAUUAGGUUGUUGUGCAGGGGAUGCCCAUUGUUUACUGUAAAAAAUUAGAGUGUUCAAAGCAGGCUUAUGCCGUUGAAUGUUAGCAUGGAAAAAUAAGAUAGGACCUUGGUACUAUUUUGUUGGUUUGCUCACCGAGGUAAUGAUUAAUAGGGACGGUUGGGGGUAUUCGUAUUCCAUUGUCAGAGGUGAAAUUCUUGGAUUUUUGGAAGACAAACUACUGCAAAAGCAUUUACCAAGGAUGUUUUCA
Molecule: ribosomal RNA, 381 nt
Filed under: uncultured eukaryote
Lineage: Eukaryota
Description: SSU rRNA
Rfam family: Eukaryotic small subunit ribosomal RNA
Source: RNAcentral